GCGUUGUCCGGAUUUAUUGGGCGUAAAGAGCGCGUAGGCGGCCAACCACGUCGGAUGUGAAAGCUCGGGGCUCAACCCUGAGACGCCAUUCGAUACGGGUCGGCUAGAGGCAGGUAGGGGAAAGUGGAAUUCCUGGUGUAGCGGUGAAAUGCGCAGAUAUCAGGAGGAACACCGGUGGCGAAGGCGGCUUUCUGGGCCUGUCCUGACGCUGAGGCGCGAAAGCUGG
Molecule: ribosomal RNA, 226 nt
Filed under: uncultured bacterium
Lineage: Bacteria
Description: partial 16S ribosomal RNA
Rfam family: Bacterial small subunit ribosomal RNA
Source: RNAcentral